This 252-nucleotide ribosomal RNA is filed under the name uncultured bacterium. Its description in RNAcentral is "partial 16S ribosomal RNA". It matches the Rfam family "Bacterial small subunit ribosomal RNA", at positions 524 to 776 of the family's 1533-position model. The record is from RNAcentral.
UACGGAGGAUGCGAGCGUUAUCCGGAUUUAUUGGAUUUAAAGGGUGCGUAGGCGGACGCUUAAGUCAGCGGUAAAAUUGCGGGGCUCAACCUCGUCGAGCCGUUGAAACUGGGUGCCUUGAGUGGGCGAGAAGUACGCGGAAUGCGUGGUGUAGCGGUGAAAUGCAUAGAUAUCACGCAGAACUCCGAUUGCGAAGGCAGCGUACCGGCGCCCUACUGACGCUGAAGCACGAAGGCGUGGGUAUCGAACAGG